Molecule: ribosomal RNA, 492 nt
Filed under: uncultured bacterium
Lineage: Bacteria
Description: partial 16S ribosomal RNA
Rfam family: Bacterial small subunit ribosomal RNA
Source: RNAcentral
AGUGAACGCUGGCGGUAGGCCUAACACAUGCAAGUCGAACGGCAGCACAGUAAGAGCUUGCUCUUACGGGUGGCGAGUGGCGGACGGGCGAGGAAUACAUCGGAAUCUACUUUUUCGUGGGGGAUAACGUAGGGAAACUUACGCUAAUACCGCAUACAACCUACGGGUGAAAGCAGGGGAUCUUCGGACCUUGCGCGAUUGAAUGAGCCGAUGUCGGAUUAGCUAGUUGGCGGGGUAAAGGCCCACCAAGGCGACGAUCCGUAGCUGGUCUGAGAGGAUGAUCAGCCACACUGGAACUGAGACACGGUCCAGACUCCUACGGGAGGCAGCAGUGGGGAAUAUUGGACAAUGGGCGCAAGCCUGAUCCAGCCAUACCGCGUGGGUGAAGAAGGCCUUCGGGUUGUAAAGCCCUUUUGUUGGGAAAGAAAAGCAGCAGGUUAAUACCCCGCUGUUCUGACGGUACCCAAAGAAUAAGCACCGGCUAACUUCGUG